Molecule: long non-coding RNA, 276 nt
Organism: Etheostoma cragini (Arkansas darter)
Lineage: Eukaryota; Metazoa; Chordata; Actinopteri; Perciformes; Percidae
Exons: 4
Source: RefSeq, a predicted model, not a curated record
GGUGGUUGUGCCUUUGGCUGAGUGUCUAUCCAAUCUGUCAGAGGGAGAGCAGGAGACGGUUUAUGAAGUUUAACGUUGGUAGUCACCAGAGAAGAAGAAGAAGAAGAAGUUGGUAAUUAAUGGCUCAGAUUCAAACCCAAAUUGAAACGUAAGCAACUAAAAUUGAUGAAUGUUUGAACAUUGUGUCAAAUUGGUCAUUAUUACUGUGACUUAUAAAGUGUCAGGUUUAGUUCCAUCAUAGUAAAUCUACAUGUGUGGAAUCAUUCCGCUGGGGGA